RNAcentral lists this ribosomal RNA (416 nucleotides) under uncultured bacterium. RNAcentral describes it as "bacterial SSU rRNA". It matches the Rfam family "Bacterial small subunit ribosomal RNA", at positions 371 to 802 of the family's 1533-position model. The record is from RNAcentral.
AUGGGCGAAAGCCUGACGCAGCAACGCCGCGUGGGUGAAGAAGGCUCUCGGGUCGUAAAGCCCUUUUGUUGGGGAAGAAGUUCUGACGGUACCCAACGAAUAAGCCUCGGCUAACUACGUGCCAGCAGCCGCGGUAAUACGUAGGAGGCGAGCGUUAUCCGGAUUCAUUGGGCGUAAAGAGCGCGUAGGCGGCCCGUUAAGUCAGUUGUGAAAUCUCCUGGCUCAACCAGGAGAGGUCAACUGAUACUGGCAGGCUUGAGGGCAGCAGAGGGAGGUGGAAUUCCCGGUGUAGCGGUGAAAUGCGUAGAGAUCGGGAGGAACACCAGUGGCGAAGGCGGCCUCCUGGGCUGUUUCUGACGCUGAGGCGCGAGAGCGUGGGGAGCAAACAGGAUUAGAUACCCCGGUAGUCCAAGCCG